CCUACGGGAGACUGCAGUGAGGAAUAUUGGUCAAUGGUCGGGAGACUGAACCAGCCAAGCCGCGUGAGGGAUGAAGGUACAGAGUAUCGUAAACCUCUUUUGUCAGUGAACAAAGGCGGUGACGCGUCCCCGGAUGAGUGUACCUGAAGAAAAAGCAUCGGCUACCUCCGUUCCAGCAGCCGCGGUAAUACGGGGGAUGCGAGCGUUAUCCGGUUUGAUUGGGUUAAAAGGGUGGGCAGGCGGGAUGUUAAGUCAGCGGGCAAAGCCCGGGGCUCAACCCCGGCCCGCCGUUGAAACUGGCAGUCUCGAGUUGGAGAGAAGUAUGCGGAAUGCGCGGUGUAGCGGUGAAAUGCAUAGAUAUCGCGCAGAACUCCGAUUGCGAAGGCAGCAUGCCGGCUCCACACUGACGCUGAGGCACGAAAGCGUGGGUAUCGAACAGGAUUAGAUACCCGUGUAGUC
RNAcentral lists this ribosomal RNA (459 nucleotides) under uncultured bacterium. Its description in RNAcentral is "partial 16S ribosomal RNA". It matches the Rfam family "Bacterial small subunit ribosomal RNA", at positions 338 to 795 of the family's 1533-position model. The record is from RNAcentral.